Chenopodium quinoa (quinoa) is the source of this 2826-nucleotide RNA transcript. It is a transcript of the gene named E3 ubiquitin ligase BIG BROTHER-like, with no coding region annotated. The transcript is spliced from 4 exons. NCBI's taxonomy places the organism in Eukaryota, Viridiplantae, Streptophyta, Magnoliopsida, Caryophyllales, Amaranthaceae. The record is from RefSeq and is a predicted model, not a curated record.
GGAGCCCUUCAUGUUACAAAAAAUUCUGGCCUGGUACAGAUUUACAGGCCUUCAUUCAAAUUCCCGCCUUUAAGACCUUCAAACCACCAAAAUUGUGGCACCAAAAAUUCAUCUUUCCUCCAAAAAAAAAAAAACCCCAAUUUUCUGAUGAUCAACCACAUAAUAUUGAACUCGAGAUUUCUCUCUCAUCUUCCAAAUUCUCUCUCUUUGAUCUUCCCUUCGUUUCUCCACAUUCGUUCUCUCUCACCUUACAAACCAAAACCCAGCAAUUGGAACACCAAUCAUUCCUUUGUAAAAUCAAACCCAAUUCUCAAUCUCCUCGAAAAAUGCAAUUCAAUGGCGCAAUUGUUUCAGAUUCAAGCUCAAAUGAUCAUUUCUGGGCUCAUCUUAGAUGGGCUUGCUUCAAGUCGAUUGAUUGCGUUUUGUGCAAUUUCUGAAGCUGGUGAUCUUGAUUAUUGUGAGAAAAUUUUGAAUUUUGUUGAUAACCCUAAAGUUUUUUCUUGGAAUAUUGCAAUUAAGGGUUAUUCAGAGAGUUUAAUUCCAAUUAAAGCUGUUAAAUUGUAUAAAGAAAUGUUGAACAAUAGUGCGUGUCGUCCUGAUAAUUAUACUUAUCCUCUGAUUUUUAAGGUUUGUGCUCGUUUGUCAUUAAAUUAUAUUGGUUAUGGAAUUCUUGGGCAUGUUUUGAAACUUGGUUUAGCUUCAGAUGUGUUUGUACAUAAUGGAAUUAUUCAUAUGUUGGUGUCCUGUGGUCGUUUGGAUGAUGCACGCCAUGUGUUCGAUGAAAGUUGUGUAAGAGAUUUGGUUACAUGGAAUUCUUUGAUCAAUGGGUAUGUACAUUGUGGGCAGGCUUGCGAAGCGUUGAAGCUGUAUGAGGAGAUGAGGGUGGAGGGAGUAAGGCCGGAUGAGGUGACAAUGAUUGGGAUGGUUUCAUCAUGUGCACAACUCGAGGAUUUGAGUCGAGGGUUGGAGUUUCAUCGUCUUAUUGGUGAAUGUGGACUGACUUUAACUGUCCCACUUUGUAAUGCGUUGAUGGAUAUGUAUGUUAAAUGUGGGGAUCUUAAGGCGGCACAGGAUAUAUUUGAUAAUUUGAGGAAGAAAACCAUGGUUUCGUGGACCACGAUGGUUGUGGGAUAUGCUAAAUUUGGGUUGCUAGAUGAGGCGAGGGAGCUGUUUGACAAGAUGCCUGAGAAAGAUGUGGUGCCGUGGAAUGCCAUGAUUGGAGCAUAUGUUCAAGCUAAGUAUAGUAAGGAGGCUUUGGUUCUAUUUCAUGAAAUGCAGGGUACAAAUAUUACGCCUGAUGAGAUCACUAUGGUUAACUGCUUAUCUGCUUGUGCUCAACUAGGAGCACUUGAUGUUGGGAUAUGGAUUCACUGGUACAUUAACAAGAAGAAGCUUUCUUUGAAUGUUUCAUUGGGCACAGCUCUUGUUGAUAUGUAUUCCAAAUGUGGUAACGUUGGAAAGGCGCUUGAAGUUUUCCAUGAGAUGGCUUCGAAGAAUUCAUUAACCUAUACUGCUAUCAUUGGAGGCCUAGCCCUUCAUGGGAAUGCAAAUGAUGCUUUAUCAUACUUUUCAAAAAUGGUUGAUGUUGGAUUGGUGCCAGAUGAGAUCACAUUCCUUGGAGUCUUAGCUGCUUGUUGUCAUGGGGGAUUGGUUGACAAGGGCCGUCAGUACUUUGCUGAAAUGACCUCCAUAUAUAAUCUUACUCCAAACCUUAAACACUACUCUUCCAUGGUGGACCUAGUUGGUAGGGCAGGAAAAUUAGAAGACGCAGAAGCACUUAUAAAGAGUAUGCCUAUGGAGCCAGAUGCUGUUGUAUGGGGUGCUUUGUUUUUUGCUUGUCGUAUGCAUGGGAAUGUGAUAAUGGGUGAAAAAGCUGCAUUGAAACUGCUUGAGUUGGAUCCUGGUGAUAGUGGAAUAUAUGUUUUGUUGGCAAAUAUGUAUGGGGAUGCAGAAAUGUGGGACAAAGCUAGAAAAGUAAGGAAAAUGAUGAAGGCCAGAGGAGUUGACAAGACUCCUGGUUGUAGCUCAAUUGAGAUCAAUGGAGUAGUCCAUGAAUUCACUAUAAGAGACAAGACACACCCUCAAUCCAUAGAGAUAUUUGAUUGUCUGGCUCAACUAACCAAACAACUUGAACUACUUGAAACUGCUUCGAGUAUCAGCAAAUCUUGGACUGCUGUUUCUUUGUAGAAUUAUGCUAGUCAGAAUGUUAAAAGGCUGUGAAAAUAGUUCCUUUACUCUCUUGUAUCCUCCAAACUUACAUGUUUUGCGUCUAUUAUGCAAAGUCUGUGGGCUUACUAAGAAAUAAAAUGGUUGGGCCAUCUCUCCACUUAUUCAUUCAUCUCCUUGAUUGGCUGCAGUUGCUUGAAGGACUGUGACUUAGCAACCUGAAAAAUAUGAAGGAAGAUGGCUGGAGACAUUCCACUGAACAGAGAGGAGCAUUUAAAUGAUGAUGCUCGGUGCUUUCUAGUCAAGGAUGGAUUCAAUGUAUACAAUUUAAUCGUUGAGGGUUAGUCAAUUGUUGGAUUUUGGGAUCGAGCAUCAUAGAAGUAAAGUCAUGCAAUACGGUGAAAGAGAUAGCAGUCAAAUUUCAUCAGGUGAUUCCUGAGGACAUAAGUUUGCAGCUGACUAAAUUGGUUUAAUAAUGCAGCAAAUAUAAAGUGGAUGUUCUGACAAUGGGUUACAACUUCUAGACAAAGAUUGAUUUUCCUUAUCUGCAAGUUCAGGUGAUUUUGAAUGGUGGGUGAUAUGCAUUGUUGAGCAAUCUGCUAAUCACGGAAUAGAUCUACGCUCGUAAAUUUGUCGAAAUAACUUUAUCAUAUAUACAUA